GAUGAACGCUGGCGGCGUGCUUAACACAUGCAAGUCGAACGGAAAGGCUCCUGCUUGCUGGGGUACUCGAGUGGCGAACGGGUGAGUAACACGUGGGUGAUCUGCCCUGCACUUCGGGAUAAGCCUGGGAAACUGGGUCUAAUACCGGAUAGGACGAUUGUUUUGAUGCCAUUGUGGAAAGUUUUUCGGUGUGGGAUGAGCUCGCGGCCUAUCAGCUUGUUUGUGGGGUAAUGGCAUACCAAGGCGUCGACGGGUAGCCGGACUGUGAGGGUGUACGGGCAAAAUGGGACUGAGAUACGGACCAGACUGCAACGGGAGGAAGCAGUGGGGAAGAUUGCACAAUGGGCGCAAGCCUGAUGCAGAGACGCAGCGUGGGGGAUGACGGCCUUCGGGUUGUAAACAACUUUCGAUAGGGACGAAGCGAAAGUGACGGUAACUGGAGAAGAAGCACCGGCUAACUACGUG
This 465-nucleotide ribosomal RNA is filed under the name uncultured bacterium. RNAcentral's name for it is "partial 16S ribosomal RNA". It matches the Rfam family "Bacterial small subunit ribosomal RNA", at positions 28 to 507 of the family's 1533-position model. The record is from RNAcentral.